CCUACGGGAGGCAGCAGUGAGGAAUAUUGGUCAAUGGACGGGAGUCUGAACCAGCCAAGUAGCGUGCAGGAUGACUGCCCUAUGGGUUGUAAACUUCUUUUAUAUGGGAAUAAAAUGUUCCACGUGUGGGAUUUUGUAUGUACCAUAUGAAUAAGGAUCGGCUAACUCCGUGCCAGCAGCCGCGGUAAUACGGAGGAUCCGAGCGUUAUCCGGAUUUAUUGGGUUUAAAGGGAGCGUAGGUGGAUUGUUAAGUCAGUUGUGAAAGUUUGCGGCUCAACCGUAAAAUUGCAGUUGAUACUGGCAGUCUUGAGUACAGUAGAGGUGGGCGGAAUGCGUGGUGUAGCGGUGAAAUGCUUAGAUAUCACGAAGAACCCCGAUUGCGAAGGCAGUUCACUGGACUGCAACUGACACUGAGGCUCGAAAGUGUGGGUAUCAAACAGGAUUAGAUACCCGUGUAGUC
RNAcentral lists this ribosomal RNA (460 nucleotides) under uncultured bacterium. RNAcentral describes it as "partial 16S ribosomal RNA". It matches the Rfam family "Bacterial small subunit ribosomal RNA", at positions 338 to 795 of the family's 1533-position model. The record is from RNAcentral.